GCUACCCUCUUUCUUUUCUUUUUUUACCACUGACGGCCGGCUAUCCUAUCUAUUCCUAUACGAGAGUGAACAGAGUUUUUUUUUUUAGAGAGAUCCACCCUUCGCUCUCGGGUUUUUUGAGAGCUUUAGGCAAGAUAAGGGAUGAAAAAUAUACCUUUUUUCAAAUACCAUAUGUUGAAAAUAACAUGCAAAUCAAGUCCAAACUCAAUACGUUUGGACAAAAAAAUAAGAGAUAAAUAUACAAGUGGAUUGUGUCCCUAGAAAAAAAAAGCAAAGCAUCAUAGACCUGUCUUAUUUUCUUUUCUAAAAAGGCCAAUGAUUGAUUAUAAAAAAGUAUAAACUUGUCUAAACAAGCAUCAUAUAGAAGCUUUUCUUCGCAGAAAUAAAGGUAGACUUAGCAAAGUAUAGCUAAUCCCACA
Molecule: long non-coding RNA, 419 nt
Filed under: Brachypodium distachyon (stiff brome)
Lineage: Eukaryota; Viridiplantae; Streptophyta; Magnoliopsida; Poales; Poaceae
Description: long non-coding RNA (BDIS_LNC004052)
Source: RNAcentral